Molecule: ribosomal RNA, 450 nt
Filed under: uncultured bacterium
Lineage: Bacteria
Description: bacterial SSU rRNA
Rfam family: Bacterial small subunit ribosomal RNA
Source: RNAcentral
GUGGGGAAUUUUGGACAAUGGGCGCAAGCCUGAUCCAGCAAUGCCGCGUGCAGGAAGAAGGCCUUCGGGUUGUAAACUGCUUUUGUACGGAACGAAACGGUCCGGGUUAAUACCCUGGGCUAAUGACGGUACCGUAAGAAUAAGCACCGGCUAACUACGUGCCAGCAGCCGCGGUAAUACGUAGGGUGCAAGCGUUAAUCGGAAUUACUGGGCGUAAAGCGUGCGCAGGCGGUUUUGUAAGACAGGCGUGAAAUCCCCGGGCUCAACCUGGGAGUUGCGCUUGUGACUGCAAGGCUGGAGUGCGGCAGAGGGGGAUGGAAUUCCGCGUGUAGCAGUGAAAUGCGUAGAUAUGCGGAGGAACACCGAUGGCGAAGGCAAUCCCCUGGGCCUGCACUGACGCUCAUGCACGAAAGCGUGGGGAGCAAACAGGAUUAGAUACCCUAGUAGUCC